GUAGGUGGCAAGCGUUGUCCGGAAUUAUUGGGCGUAAAGCGCGCGCAGGCGGUUCUUUAAGUCUGAUGUGAAAGCCCACGGCUCAACCGUGGAGGGUCAUUGGAAACUGGAGAACUUGAGUACAGAAGAGGAAAGCGGAAUUCCGCGUGUAGCGGUGAAAUGCGUAGAGAUGUGGAGGAACACCAGUGGCGAAGGCGGCUUUCUGGUCUGUAACUGACGCUGAGGCGCGAAAGCGUGGGGAGCAAACAGGAUUAGAUACCCUGGUAGUCCACGCCGUAAACGAUGAGUGCUAAGUGUUAGGGGGGUUUCCGCCCCCCUUAGUGCUGCAGCUAACGCAUUAAGCACUCCGCCUGGGAGUACGGCCGCAAGGCUG
Molecule: ribosomal RNA, 373 nt
Filed under: uncultured organism
Description: partial 16S ribosomal RNA
Rfam family: Bacterial small subunit ribosomal RNA
Source: RNAcentral